This 468-nucleotide ribosomal RNA is filed under the name uncultured bacterium. RNAcentral describes it as "partial 16S ribosomal RNA". It matches the Rfam family "Bacterial small subunit ribosomal RNA", at positions 28 to 507 of the family's 1533-position model. The record is from RNAcentral.
GACGAACGCUGGCGGCGUGCUUAACACAUGCAAGUCGAACGGAAAGGCCCUGCUUUUGUGGGGUGCUCGAGUGGCGAACGGGUGAGUAACACGUGAGUAACCUGCCCUUGACUUUGGGAUAACUUCAGGAAACUGGGGCUAAUACCGGAUAGGAGCUCCUGCUGCAUGGUGGGGGUUGGAAAGUUUCGGCGGUGGGGGAUGGACUCGCGGCUUAUCAGCUUGUUGGUGGGGUAGUGGCUGCCCAAGGCUUUGACGGGUAGCCGGCCUGAGAGGGUGAACGGCCACAUUGGUCCUGCGAUACGGCCCAGACUCCUACGGGAGGCAGCAGUGGGGAAUAUUGCACAAUGGGCGGAAGCCUGAUGCAGCAACGCCGCGUGCGGGAUGACGGCCUUCGGGUUGUAAACCGCUUUCGCCUGUGACGAAGCGUGAGUGACGGUAAUGGGUAAAGAAGCACCGGCUAACUACGUG